UAAACUGUGGUAUCGUUCCCAUAAUGUGCUU
RNAcentral lists this non-coding RNA (31 nucleotides) under Rattus norvegicus (Norway rat). The record is from RNAcentral. Lineage: Eukaryota; Metazoa; Chordata; Mammalia; Rodentia; Muridae.